Ostrea edulis (European flat oyster) is the source of this 764-nucleotide long non-coding RNA. RefSeq lists it as uncharacterized. The record is from RefSeq and is a predicted model, not a curated record. NCBI's taxonomy places the organism in Eukaryota, Metazoa, Mollusca, Bivalvia, Ostreida, Ostreidae. The transcript has 2 exons.
CAGACGUUGAUCUAAUUAGGAGCAUGUUUUCUAACAUGUCGUUAAUCAUCUGGGGAUUGUUAGGGGGGUCUAGGAACAGCGAUGGUUGACUGUUAAAUUGGACACCCUAGACAUUUGAUUUGGGAGAAAGGACCAUUGGUCUCUCUACGGACGUUGGCUUGGUGAAGUCUUUUGGUAUGCAGAUUAUGACUUUAAAAUGACCAUUAGGAUUAUGAGCAGGGGUUCACAUCAAGGGGAAGCGAAACAUUUAAAGAACAAACGGCAGAUAUUUGAAACCAAGUGCUCAACGAACUCUUACAAUUCUUAUGAUAAUAAAAGCACAUACAUAUCAGAAGUAUGCCUUUUUAUUGAAACACUAGAACUAACCUGUGUCUUACUUAUGAUUAAGAGCGACAUUGAUACAAACUUCAAACUUUCCGUCCUUCGAAACCAAAUUAAUUCGGAGUCAAUGAGAACACCGUAGCAGACAGCAAUUAGAAGUGCAAAUUUGUGCACCAAGUGUUGUGAACGUCGGCAAAACGAUGGAUGCAUUAGAGAAGCAUCGUCUAGCCUAUCAGGACAUUCUGAAGCUGUUUGUGCAGAAGAUACUUUAAAGACCUUAAUCUUGUACAUUAUCAAAGUAUGCAAUUAGAUACUUUGUUAUGUAAUACUUUAAUUAGAAUAUUUACAUGUGCUCUCAACCUGCUGUUAGAAUGAUUCACGGGAUCGUCUUCAUUUGCUAGUCGUGCUCAAAUCUUCAAAAUUUAAACAGUUUGGCUAAUUUU